GACGAACGCUGGCGGCGUGCUUAACACAUGCAAGUCGAACGGAAAGGCCCUGCUUUUGUGGGUUGCUCGAUUGGCGAACGGGUGAGUAACACGUGAGUAACCUGCCCUUGACUUUGGGAUAACUUCAGGAAACUGGGGCUCAUACCGGAUAGGAGCUCCUGCUGCAUGGUGGGGGUUGGAAAGUUUCGGCGGUUGGGGAUGGACUCGAGGCUUAUCAGCUUGUUGGUGUGGUAGUGGCUUACCAAGGCUUUGACGGGUAGCCGGCCUGAGAGGGUGACCGGCCACAUUGGGACUGAGAUACGGCGCAGACUCCUACGGGAGGCAGCAGGGGGGAAUAUUGCAGAAUGGGCGGAAGCCUGAGGCAGCAACGCCGCGUGCGGGAUGACGGCCUUCGGGUGGUAAACCGCUUUCGCCUGUGACGAAGCGUGAGUGACGGUAAUGGGUAAAGAAGCACCGGCUAACUACGUG
RNAcentral lists this ribosomal RNA (468 nucleotides) under uncultured bacterium. RNAcentral's name for it is "partial 16S ribosomal RNA". It matches the Rfam family "Bacterial small subunit ribosomal RNA", at positions 28 to 507 of the family's 1533-position model. The record is from RNAcentral.